GGAUGUGAGGGCGAUCUGGCUGUGACAUCUGUCACCCCAUUGAUCGCCAGGGUUGAUUCUGGUGAUCUGGCUGGCUAGGCAGGUGUCCUCCUUCCUCCCUCACCACUCCAUGUGUGACCCUCCCUCCCGAAGCUGCUCUCUCAGUCAAAGAGGAUGACCAUCCCCAAUAGAGAAGGACCGUCCCUCUCGGUCAAGGGUAUACGAGCAGCUGCACUCCCCUGCUAGAACCUCCAAACAAGCUCUCAGGACCAGAGAUGUUUUUAUGUCCCUAAGAAAUGAUCACAUAGAAAACGAUGAAUUUUUAUAUCAUGUAGGAAUAACAU
RNAcentral lists this small RNA (323 nucleotides) under Vicugna pacos (alpaca). RNAcentral's name for it is "7SK RNA (ENSVPAG00000017126.1)". It matches the Rfam family "7SK RNA", at positions 1 to 260 of the family's 331-position model. Rfam says of the family: 7SK was discovered as an abundant small nuclear RNA in the mid-70s but a possible function has only recently been suggested. Two independent studies have found that 7SK RNA binds the CDK9/cyclin T complex (known as elongation factor P-TEFb). The record is from RNAcentral. Lineage: Eukaryota; Metazoa; Chordata; Mammalia; Artiodactyla; Camelidae.